UGGGGAAACCCUGAUGCAGCGACGCCGCGUGAGGGAUGACGGCCUUCGGGUUGUAAACCUCUUUCAGUAGGGAAGAAGCCUUCGGGUGACGGUACCUGCAGAAGAAGUACAGGCUAACUACGUGCCAGCAGCCGCGGUAAUACGUAGGGUACAAGCGUUGUCCGGAAUUAUUGGGCGUAAAGAGCUCGUAGGCGGUUCGUCGCGUCUGCUGUGGAAACGCAAGGCUCAACCUUGCGCGUGCAGUGGGUACGGGCGGACUAGAGUGCAGUAGGGGAGUCUGGAAUUCCUGGUGUAGCGGUGAAAUGCGCAGAUAUCAGGAGGAACACCGGUGGCGAAGGCGGGACUCUGGGCUGUAACUGACGCUGAGGAGCGAAAGCAUGGGGAGCGAACAGGAUUAGAUACCCUGGUAGUCCAUGCCGUAAACGUUGGGCACUAGGUGUGGGGCUCAUUCCACGAGUUCCGCGCCGCAGCUAACGCAUUAAGUGCCCCGCCUGGGGAGUACGGCCGCAAGGCUAAAACUCAAAGGAAUUGACGGGGGCCCGCACAAGCGGCGGAGCAUGCGGAUUAAUUCGAUGCAACGCGAAGAACCUUACCAAGGCUUGACAUACACCGGAAUGUGCCAGAGAUGGUUCAGCCCUUUUGGGCUGGUGUACAGGUGGUGCAUGGUUGUCGUCAGCUCGUGUCGUGAGAUGUUGGGUUAAGUCCCGCAACGAGCGCAACCCUCGUUCUAUGUUGCCAGCACGUGAUGGUGGGAACUCAUAGGAGACUGCCGGGGUCAACUCGGAGGAAGGUGGGGAUGACGUCAAAUCAUCAUGCCCUUUAUGUCUUGGGCUUCACGCAUGCUACAAUGGUCGGUACAAAGGGUGGCGAGACCGUGAGGUGGAGCGAAUCCCAGAAAGCCGAUCUCAGUUCGGAUCGUAGUCUGCAACUCGACUACGUGAAGUCGGAGUCGCUAGUAAUCGCAGAUCAGCAACGCUGCGGUGAAUACGUUCCCGGGCCUUGUACACACCGCCCGUCAAGUCACGAAAGUCGGUAACACCCGAAGCCGGUGGCCCAACCCUUGUGGGGGGAGCCGUCGAAGGUGGGACUGGUGAUUGGGACUAAGUCGUAACAAGGUAACA
Molecule: ribosomal RNA, 1121 nt
Filed under: uncultured bacterium
Lineage: Bacteria
Description: bacterial SSU rRNA
Rfam family: Bacterial small subunit ribosomal RNA
Source: RNAcentral